RNAcentral lists this ribosomal RNA (494 nucleotides) under uncultured bacterium. Its description in RNAcentral is "SSU rRNA". It matches the Rfam family "Bacterial small subunit ribosomal RNA", at positions 26 to 518 of the family's 1533-position model. The record is from RNAcentral.
AGGAUAAACGCUGGCGGCGUGCCUAACACAUGCAAGUCGAACGCUCUUUUCCUUCGCAAGAGGGGGGAGGGAGUGGCGGACGGGUGAGGAACACAUGGGUGACCUACCUUUCAGUGAGGAAUACCGGCGAGAAAUCGCCGACAAGACCGCAUGAGCUUCUCUCGGUGAGCGAGGGAAGGAAAGCUCUUUUUCGCGAAAAACGGAGAGGGGCGCUGGAAGAUGGGCCUGUGGCCGAUUAGCUAGUUGGUGAGGUAACGGCUCACCAAGGCGACGAUCGGUAGCUGGUCUGAGAGGACGAUCAGCCACACUGGGAUUGAGAACGGCCCAGACUCCUACGGGGGGCAGCAGUGAGGAAUUUCCGCAAUGGGCGCAAGCCUGACGGAGCAACGCCGCGUGCAGGAAGACGGUUUUCGGAUCGUAAACUGCUUUUCUCGGGGACGAGAACGGACGGUACCCGAGGAAUCAGCCCCGGCUAACUACGUGCCAGCAGCCGC